CAGAACCAAACCUCGUAUGCCGUCACCAAAGAGUGAGCCAAAGUCCUACUCAGGUCAUGAUUCUGAUGCUGAAUACACCAACAUGGACGAACUCAACAUGUAUGGAAACAUCUGAUGAUAAUGAACAACACAAAGUUCAACACAGUGUUUUUUAAAUGCUCAAUAUAAAUACAUAGAUCAGAUUGUAUACUUUCAGAAAUAGUCAGUCUUUUUUUCUUAGUCAAGAUGCUUGUAUUGAGUUUGCUGUUGACCUGCAUUUAUUUUACAUUGAUGUUGUUGUCUCUGCUCUACUCUGCUAUUGAUCAAUGUUUUCCAGCAUAUC
This is a long non-coding RNA of Sinocyclocheilus rhinocerous, 322 nucleotides long. RefSeq lists it as uncharacterized. The transcript is spliced from 3 exons. The record is from RefSeq and is a predicted model, not a curated record. NCBI's taxonomy places the organism in Eukaryota, Metazoa, Chordata, Actinopteri, Cypriniformes, Cyprinidae.